CCCUUAGAUGUUCGGGGCCGCACGCGCGCUACACUGAAGGACUCAGCGUGUCUCUCCCCCUAUCCCGAAAGGGAUGGGCAACCCGUUGAACCUCCUUCGUGCUAGGGAUUGGGGUUUGCAAUUAUCCCCCAUGAACGAGGAAUUCCCAGUAAGCGCGAGUCAUCAGCUCGCGUUGAUUACGUCCCUGCCCUUUGUACACACCGCCCGUCGCUACUACCGAUUGGAUGGUUUAGUGAGACCCUCGGAUCGGUCCCGACUCGGGGUGGGCUUCUGCCCCGGUCGUGGUUUCGCCGAGAAGACGGACAAACUUGACUAUCUAGAGGAAGUAAAAGUCGUAACA
RNAcentral lists this ribosomal RNA (340 nucleotides) under uncultured eukaryote. Its description in RNAcentral is "partial 18S ribosomal RNA". It matches the Rfam family "Eukaryotic small subunit ribosomal RNA", at positions 1470 to 1796 of the family's 1831-position model. The record is from RNAcentral.